Molecule: ribosomal RNA, 230 nt
Filed under: uncultured bacterium
Lineage: Bacteria
Description: partial 16S ribosomal RNA
Rfam family: Bacterial small subunit ribosomal RNA
Source: RNAcentral
CGGGUGCGUAACACGUAUACAAUCUGCCUUUAACUGGGGGAUAGCCCGGAGAAAUCCGGAUUAAUACCCCAUAAUAUAUUGAAUAGCAUUAUUUGAUAUUAAAAGCUCCGGCGGUUAGAGAUGAGUAUGCGUCUGAUUAGUUAGUUGGUGAGGUAACGGCUCACCAAGACCACGAUCAGUAGGGGAUCUGAGAGGAUUAACCCCCACACGGAUACUGAGACACGGAUCCG